CAGUCGCCACGGUAAUACAGAGGAUGCAAGCGUUAUCUGGAAUGAUUGGGCGUAAAGCGCGCGCAGACGGAUGGGUCAGUCUGUCUUAAAAGUUCGGGGCUUAACCCCGUGAUGGGACGGAAACUGCUGAUCUAGAGUAUCGGAGAGGAAAGUGGAAUUCCUAGUGUAGCGGUGAAAUGCGUAGAUAUUAGGAAGAACACCAGUGGCGAAGGCGACUUUCUGGACUGUAACUGACACUGAGGCGCGAAAGCGUGGGGAGCAAACAGGAUUAGAUACCCCGGUAGUCCCUGUCUCUUAUACA
RNAcentral lists this ribosomal RNA (301 nucleotides) under uncultured bacterium. RNAcentral describes it as "partial 16S ribosomal RNA". It matches the Rfam family "Bacterial small subunit ribosomal RNA", at positions 509 to 808 of the family's 1533-position model. The record is from RNAcentral.